RNAcentral lists this signal recognition particle RNA (262 nucleotides) under Velocimicrobium porci. RNAcentral's name for it is "signal recognition particle sRNA large type". It matches the Rfam family "Bacterial large signal recognition particle RNA". From Rfam's summary of the family: The signal recognition particle (SRP) is a universally conserved ribonucleoprotein involved in the co-translational targeting of proteins to membranes. Archaeal SRP consists of a 7S RNA and homologues of the eukaryotic SRP19 and SRP54 proteins. In most bacteria, the SRP consists of a 4.5S RNA and the Ffh protein (a homologue of the eukaryotic SRP54 protein). Lineage: Bacteria; Bacillati; Bacillota; Clostridia; Lachnospirales; Lachnospiraceae. The record is from RNAcentral.
CCGUGCAGCCGGGGAGUUAGCGGUGUCCUGUACCUGCAAUCCGCUACAGCAGGGGUGAUGUUUUGCCGAGGGCUUGUUUCUGUGGAGCUGCCCUAUAUAAGUGGCGUUGACGUUUGGGUCUUACGCAACAGGAAUCCAUGAACCGUGUCAGGUCAGGAAUGAAGCAGCACUAAGUGGAAGCUCUUGUGUGCCGUAAGGGUGCCUGAGCCGAGUUAACUGUAUAGGUAACGUUCAUUGGGCAAGUUCGAAGCAAGACGCACGG